GAGUUUGAUCCUGGCUCAGGAUGAACGCUGGCGGCGUGCUUAACACAUGCAAGUCGAACGAGGAAUUUUAAAUGAGACUUCGGUGGAUUUUAAAAUUCUUAGUGGCGGACGGGUGAGUAACGCGUGGGCAACCUGCCCUGUACAGGGGGGACAACAGCUGGAAACGGCUGCUAAUACCGCAUAAGACCACGGAGCCGCAUGGCUCAGUGGGAAAAACUCCGGUGGUACAGGAUGGGCCCGCGUUGGAUUAGGUAGUUGGUGAGGUAACGGCCCACCAAGCCGACGAUCCAUAGCCGACCUGAGAGGGUGACCGGCCACGUUGGGACUGAGACACGGCCCAAACUCCUACGGGAGGCAGCAGUGGGGAAUCUUCCGCAAUGGGCGAAAGCCUGACGGAGCAACGCCGCGUGAGUGAAGAAUUAUUUCGGUAUGUAAAGCUCUAUCAGCAGGAAGAAAAUGACGGUACCUGACUAAGAAGCCCGGCUAACUACGUGCCAGCCGCCGCGGU
Molecule: ribosomal RNA, 508 nt
Filed under: uncultured microorganism
Description: bacterial SSU rRNA
Rfam family: Bacterial small subunit ribosomal RNA
Source: RNAcentral